GAGCGAGAAAGCCCGCUUCGGCGGGUGAGUAAAGCGGCGAACGGGUGAGUAACACGUGAGUCACCUACCCCUCAGUAGGGGAUAACAUCUCGAAAGGGUUGCUAAUACCGUGUACGGUCCCGACCGUUCCUGCGGUUGGGACGAAAGGUGGCCUCUCUAUAGAAGCUGCCGCUGGGGGAUGGGCUCGCGCACCAUUAGCUUGUUGGUAGGGUAACGGCCUACCAAGGCUACGAUGGGUAGCUGGUCUGAGAGGACGGCCAGUCACACUGGAACUGAGACACGGUCCAGACUCCUACGGGAGGCGGCAGUGGGGAAUAUUGCACAAUGGGGGAAACCCUGAUGCAGCAACGCCGCGUGCGGGAUGAAGGUCUUCGGGUCGUAAACCGCUGUCAGGAGGGAAGAAAUCGCCCCGGUUAAUAGCCGGGGUGGAUGACGGUACCUCCAGAGGAAGCCCCGGCUAACUCCGUGCCAGCAGCCGCGGUAAGACGGAGG
This 492-nucleotide ribosomal RNA is filed under the name uncultured bacterium. Its description in RNAcentral is "bacterial SSU rRNA". It matches the Rfam family "Bacterial small subunit ribosomal RNA", at positions 64 to 531 of the family's 1533-position model. The record is from RNAcentral.